Musa acuminata subsp. malaccensis (wild Malaysian banana) is the source of this 2259-nucleotide RNA transcript. It is a transcript of the gene named DUF21 domain-containing protein At5g52790, with no coding region annotated. Lineage: Eukaryota; Viridiplantae; Streptophyta; Magnoliopsida; Zingiberales; Musaceae. The record is from RefSeq and is a predicted model, not a curated record.
UCGUCUCGUCUCCUCCAUUUCUUACUGUGUUUUUGGGACUUGAAAGCCAAGAAAGAUCCACAAACCCCGAACUGCCUCCUUUCUUUUCCCCUUCCCUUUCCUUCGGGUCGCUUCUCUCUCCUCUCCUCUCUUCAAUCUCGAUACGUAAAGCGAAGCUUUCCCCUCGUUAAUUGCUGGGUUGAGAAAGAAAGAGAGAGAGAGAGAGGGGGGGGAAAAGGGUGGUCGGGGCGGCAGAGGAGGAGGAGGAGGCGAGGAUGGCGGGGGGGAGCGAGGAGCGGUGCUGCGAGGCGAUGUUCUGGGUGUACCUCAUCAUCAGCGUCGGCCUGGUCUUGUUCGCCGGCCUCAUGUCCGGCCUCACCCUCGGCCUCAUGUCCCUCAGCCUCGUCGACCUCGAGGUCCUCGUCAAGGCCGGCAAGCCCAAGGACCAGCUUCACGCCGCCAAGAUUCUGCCCGUGGUCAAGAAUCAGCACCUCCUCCUCUGCACCCUGCUCAUCGGCAACUCGCUCGCCAUGGAGGCGCUUCCCAUAUUUCUUGAUUCGCUCGUUCCGGCGUGGGGGGCCAUCCUAAUAUCCGUAACCCUAAUCCUGACCUUCGGCGAGAUAAUUCCUCAAGCUGUAUGUUCGCGGUAUGGGCUGAGCGUGGGAGCUAAAACUGCCGGAGUGGUUCGUCUGCUUCUUUUGAUCUUCUUUCCAGUGGCUUAUCCCAUUAGCAAGUUGCUGGACUGGCUACUGGGCAAGGGACAUGUUGCACUUAUGAGAAGAGCCGAACUGAAGACACUGGUGGAUAUGCACGGAAAUGAGGCAGGAAAGGGUGGGGAAUUGACUCAUGAUGAGACUACUAUUAUUGCUGGAGCUUUGGAGUUGACUCAAAAGACUGCACAAGAUUCAAUGACAACAAUAUCAGAGACCUUUUCGCUUGAUAUUAACUCUAAACUUGACAUGUACACUCUCGGUUUAAUCAUGAGUAAAGGACAUAGCCGUGUACCAAUCUACUCUGGCAGCCCAACAAACAUUAUAGGCCUUAUUUUGGUUAAGAAUUUGAUCACUUGCCGCCCUGAAGAUGAAGUUCCUAUAAGAAAUGUUACCAUAAGAAGGAUACCAAGGGUCUACGAUGACCUUCCUCUGUAUGACAUCCUGAAUGAAUUCCAGAAAGGCCACAGUCACAUGGCUGUGGUUGUUAAACGCAUAAAAGACAGUGACUUAACAACAGAAAAGAGCAAAACCAGUCCCUCAGAUAACAGAAUGGACCAGAGUAGGAACCACUAUGAAGCCCAUGGAGAUGGAUCUCUGUCAGUUAUGGCUGCGCAUUUGAAUAAUAUUACCAACGCGUCCCCUGUGAGUAGUAGUAUUCAGGGAUUUCACAGUCCUGUGAAGAGAAGCAACAUAGAUAAACAAGGAGAUUCACGCUCACAGGUCAAAAAAUUUGAACGAGGGCGACAUGACAAUAUCCUUGAUGUUAAUUCUGAUUCGCUUCCAAGUUAUUCAUUAGAUGAAGAAGUAGUUGGAAUUAUAACAAUGGAAGAUGUUAUGGAGGAAUUGCUACAGGAAGAGAUAUUGGAUGAGACAGACGAGUAUGUUGAUGUCCACAACAAGAUCAAGAUAAACAUGUUACCUACAAGAAGGUCAUCACCAAGAUCCUCUGGAAAUGUAUCUAUCUCUCAGUUUCCACGUCGAACUCCAACGGCAUCUCCACUGUCUCUCCUUCAAGAUGCUUCUGUAUCACGUUCACCUGUUUCUCAGUAUGCUCAAGUUCCUGGUCCAACACCAACCAUUACAAAAUCUGGACAGUCUUUAGCAAGUUCACCUGCACAUCACACAGGCCUUGGGCAGAACCUGUCAGCUUCAUAGCGAUAUAGGAAAGAGGGUCCUGUAUCAUGGUGUAUGUUCUUAGUUCUCACAAAGCAUUCUUUGCAACGAUCAUCAUUUCAGUGUUCAAUAGCUGUUUUUUCAAUGAUUAUACACUCACAAAGGUUUCUACGAAAGAAGCUCAGGGAAAACGAAAAGUGUAGCUGCCUGUUCAGGUGAGCAGAAGUUAAUCAGCAUGACUAAAUUUUUUGGAAAUUUCUAUAUUGUGAUCAAAUUGUAGUUUUUGUUCGUUGAUGUGACCGUAACAUGUAUUUUACGUGGAAUGUGUAAUAUGUAUUAGUUGGAUCAGUGCUCAUAUUUUUCGAAGUAGCUGAAACAAUUGUUUCGUGUGGAGACAUCAGUACUCAUCUUUUGACACCUCCAUUUCAUUAGUGCUUUCAUCAUAAAUCUAUUC